CUGACCCCUGGGGUUGGGCUCUGUCCCUCUCCUCCCAACCAGGGGCAUCAGGGUCCUCACCCAGGACCUAAGAAUUCAGAGAAAGCAGUGGAGCAUGAUUCCAGCCCACUGACCCUUCCUAACAGAUGGGGCCUGAAGACAGGGGUCUUGGGGCUUGUAGCUUGAAUACCAAGGCAGGAGCUGCCCACAGAGGUGAUAACUUUCAUUGCCAUUUACUGGCGAAACCAUGACUGAGGGACCAGGGCUACAGUGGGCAGCUAGAACCUCCUUGUAGAGGUCAGGGGCCCCUGCCAAAAGCCCUUCCUUGGAUGAGGGCUAAUUGUUGCUUACCUGUAGUCUUCCGGUCUAUCACUUUUCUGGCCACGGCCAGUUUUCCAGAACAAAUGGCAGAGGGUGAGCAAGUUUGUGAAUGUGGCCGAAGCCCCGUGUCACCCAAGGCUGGGCCCGUGCUGGUCAAGGAAAUUAGGCUGUAGUUUAUGGGAUUUCAAGAAACUAGUGCUGGCCUGUGAUUCAUUUUGAUAAAGAAUGAACAUGGUCCCACUGCCCUGAUUCGUAUUUCUUUCACGGUUGCUAAGAACAUCCAAGGGAGAACGAUGCCAAAUGAACACUCAGCUCUAACAGUUUGUCCUUCCAGGCAGCGCAGACUGACUUUAAGUCAUUCCUGAGGUCAUGGAAAGUGCAGCUGGUGUUUUCGAGGGCGGAGGGACGCCUCGGGAAGGAGGACCGGCGAGCUAUGCGGCGAGCAAAGAAGAGUGCUCACCUGAAGUCUGGCUCACAGGGAGCCUGUGCCUCUGCAGUGCAGCCCCAGUUCUCCACCUCACCGUGGAUGCUCCUACGGGCCUCAAGCUUCAUGUACACCCAGGGCAAUGCUAGAUGUCGUCACAUAGCUGCUCCCAUUUGCAUCUCAAAAAAACAGCCCAAGGCAUCCCGGCUUACCCUGGAGCUGAGGAAUGACUUUCUACUUCCACUGGGGACUGAGUCUGUCUGCAGGAAACACGGCACAGGUCACAAACAGGUUCCACCGAUGCCGCCAGCUCUGAUAUGGGAGCUGUAGACUCCAUGUUCUGGAUGAAAGUGAUUUGGGGACGACAGAGCCAGCGCUGAACCUCAGGAGGGCAGUGGAGGACAGCAUGAGGCCGUCCUGUGACCCUAGGGCUGGGAGGGACAUUGAAGCCGUGCUGCAGCUGGAGAAAGUCUUUAUGCAAUUACAGUGGGGUCAGUGUGGGCCCAGCAGUGCUGAGUGGGUAAGAGGAUAAUAAUAAUAACAACAACAACUGCAGCACGACGCCCGAUCUGACUCCAUCCCCCAAGCAUCUCAAAGAGUAGUUCCUUAUUUUUCACACUUGGAUGAGAAAAGCAAGGCAAGGAAAAGCAAGUAGGGGGCACCUGAAUUGCAAUUCGGUUUUGUCCUAGAUUUUAAUCGUUGUGCUGAACAAAAGUGAUGACCUCUCACCCGGAAGGAAACCAACAGGGUCACAGGACAGAUCUCUUGCCCAGCCCUGGAGUGGGGGUGGCUGCCGCUGACCCACUGCUGAGCAAAUGAGCCCUCCAGGCCCUGGGAGUGGGGGGGCUCUGGUCCAGCACCCAAAGCUGGCAGGGGGCCUGGUAUUCAGGCAGGGCGCCUUGCCUGUUUGCUGAGCCAAUGAGCAGGCAGUGUGUUUGGGGCUGGAGCCCUUGCAGUGAUUUUGUGAGUGUCUUUAUGAGGUGUGAUCAAAAGUACAGCGAAUGCUGGGGCCUGGUGCCAUCCGACAGAAAGGCAGCCCCUAAAACACAGUGCGUCCUCGUCUACCUCAUUCAGCAGACCUGGCACCGUGCGACUUCUGGCUCUUCCUCAAAGUCAAAACGACCACAGAAGGCAAGCGUUUUGAGUCCACGGAGGACAGCAAGGCAGCCAGGACAGCACAACUUGAACACACAGCAAAGAGGACUUCCAGAACUGCUACAGGAAGUGAUGACGGAUGGUAGAUCCCGCUUUGUCUGGAAGGGAAAACUCGAACAGCUUGUCUGCACCUCUCCACUCGGACAUUAAAUCAACAUGGCUCUAUUAGUGGCCUUGGGAUGCCAGCUGAGCUGUCUCCGAGCCUGUCACCGUGAUGUCUUCAUCUGUAACCAGAGCAGACGUGAGCUCCUGGCAGCUUCAGGAGGUGACAACAAAUCCAAUUAGCUCCUCUCCACGGCGCCGCAGGACUUCUGCGAAACGGCCUGCCGGGGAAGGCGGCUGGUACCCCGCGCAGUGGGACACGGCGGGUGC
This 2251-nucleotide long non-coding RNA is filed under the name Heterocephalus glaber (naked mole-rat). Its description in RNAcentral is "lncRNA (ENSHGLG00000050760.1)". The record is from RNAcentral. Lineage: Eukaryota; Metazoa; Chordata; Mammalia; Rodentia; Bathyergidae.